UACUUGAGAGGGUGACAUUCACAGAUACUGGACAUGACUGUCACCUUUUUUGAGUACA
This 58-nucleotide microRNA precursor is filed under the name Canis lupus familiaris (dog). Its description in RNAcentral is "Cfa-Mir-506-P3b_pre stem-loop". The record is from RNAcentral. Lineage: Eukaryota; Metazoa; Chordata; Mammalia; Carnivora; Canidae.